Molecule: ribosomal RNA, 350 nt
Filed under: Aspergillus parasiticus
Lineage: Eukaryota; Fungi; Ascomycota; Eurotiomycetes; Eurotiales; Aspergillaceae
Description: partial large subunit ribosomal RNA
Rfam family: Eukaryotic large subunit ribosomal RNA
Source: RNAcentral
GUUGUUUGGGAAUGCAGCUCUAAAUGGGUGGUAAAUUUCAUCUAAAGCUAAAUACUGGCCGGAGACCGAUAGCGGACAAAGAGGAGGGAUGGAAAGAUGAAAACCAUUUUGAAAAAAGAGUUAAAAAGCACGGGAAAUUGUUGAAAGGGAAGCGCUUGCGACCAGACUCGCCUCCAGGGUUCAGCCGGCAUUCGUGCCGGUGUACUUCCCUGGGGGCGGGCCAGCGUCGGUUUGGGCGGCCGGUCAAAGGCUCCCGGAAUGUAGUGCCCUCCGGGGCACCUUAUAGCCGGGAGUGCAAUGCGGCCAGCCUGGACCGAGGAACGCGCUCGGCACGACGCUGCUAUGCCUGG